This 73-nucleotide transfer RNA is filed under the name Anaerolineales bacterium. RNAcentral describes it as "tRNA-Met". It matches the Rfam family "tRNA". Rfam says of the family: Transfer RNA (tRNA) molecules are approximately 80 nucleotides in length. Their secondary structure includes four short double-helical elements and three loops (D, anti-codon, and T loops). The record is from RNAcentral. Lineage: Bacteria; Bacillati; Chloroflexota; Anaerolineae; Anaerolineales.
GGCGACGUAGCUCAGUUGGCAGAGCAGGGGACUCAUAAGCCUCGUGUCGGCAGUUCAAGUCUGCCCGUCGCCA